RNAcentral lists this ribosomal RNA (761 nucleotides) under uncultured bacterium. Its description in RNAcentral is "bacterial SSU rRNA". It matches the Rfam family "Bacterial small subunit ribosomal RNA", at positions 28 to 776 of the family's 1533-position model. The record is from RNAcentral.
GAUGAACGCUAGCUACAGGCUUAACACAUGCAAGUCGAGGGGCAGCAUGAAAGGAACUUCGGCUCUUUUUGAUGGCGACCGGCGCACGGGUGCGUAACGCGUAUCGAACCUGCCUCAUACUCGGGGAUAGCCUUGCGAAAGUAAGAUUAAUACCCGGCGGUCUCGGAUGGCCGCAUGACUGUCCGAGUGAAGAUUUAUCGGUAUGAGAUGGCGAUGCGUCCCAUUAGCUUGUUGGUGAGGUAACGGCUCACCAAGGCAUCGAUGGGUAGGGGUUCUGAGAGGAAGGUCCCCCACAUUGGAACUGAGACACGGUCCAAACUCCUACGGGAGGCAGCAGUGAGGAAUAUUGGUCAAUGGACGAAAGUCUGAACCAGCCAAGUAGCGUGCAGGAUGACGGCCCUCUGGGUUGUAAACUGCUUUUAGUUGGGAAUAAAAAGAGGGACGUGUCCCUUAUUGUAUGUACCAUCAGAAAAAGGACCGGCUAAUUCCGUGCCAGCAGCCGCGGUAAUACGGAAGGUCCAGGCGUUAUCCGGAUUUAUUGGGUUUAAAGGGAGCGCAGGCGGCGGCGUAAGUCAGUUGUGAAAUCGUGCGGCUUAACCGUGCAAUUGCAGUUGAUACUGCGUCGCUUGAGUGCACACAGGGAUGUUGGAAUUCAUGGUGUAGCGGUGAAAUGCUUAGAUAUCAUGAAGAACUCCGAUCGCGAAGGCAUAUGUCCGGAGUGCAACUGACGCUGAGGCUCGAAAGUGUGGGUAUCAAACAGG